Molecule: ribosomal RNA, 222 nt
Filed under: uncultured bacterium
Lineage: Bacteria
Description: partial 16S ribosomal RNA
Rfam family: Bacterial small subunit ribosomal RNA
Source: RNAcentral
CCCUUCCAGAGGGGGACAACAGUUGGAAACGACUGCUAAUACCGCAUACGAUCCAAUCUCGGCAUCGAGACUGGAUGAAAGGUGGCCUCUAUUUAUAAGCUAUCACUGAAGGAGGGGAUUGCGUCUGAUUAGCUAGUUGGAGGGGUAACGGCCCACCAAGGCGAUGAUCAGUAGCCGGUCUGAGAGGAUGAACGGCCACAUUGGGACUGAGACACGGCCCAG